RNAcentral lists this ribosomal RNA (980 nucleotides) under Paracorniculantispora psalliotae. RNAcentral's name for it is "SSU rRNA". It matches the Rfam family "Eukaryotic small subunit ribosomal RNA", at positions 79 to 1069 of the family's 1831-position model. Lineage: Eukaryota; Fungi; Ascomycota; Sordariomycetes; Hypocreales; Cordycipitaceae. The record is from RNAcentral.
CAGCGAAACUGCGAAUGGCUCAUUAUAUAAGUUAUCGUUUAUUUGAUAGUACCUUACUACUUGGAUAACCGUGGUAAUUCUAGAGCUAAUACAUGCUAAAAAUCCCGACUUCGGAAGGGAUGUAUUUAUUAGAUUAAAAACCAAUGCCCUUUGGGCUCCUUGGUGAUUCAUAAUAACUUUUCGAAUCGCAUGGCCUUGCGCCGGCGAUGGUUCAUUCAAAUUUCUUCCCUAUCAACUUUCGAUGUUUGGGUAUUGGCCAAACAUGGUCGCAACGGGUAACGGAGGGUUAGGGCUCGACCCCGGAGAAGGAGCCUGAGAAACGGCUACUACAUCCAAGGAAGGCAGCAGGCGCGCAAAUUACCCAAUCCCGAUUCGGGGAGGUAGUGACAAUAAAUACUGAUACAGGGCUCUUUUGGGUCUUGUAAUUGGAAUGAGUACAAUUUAAAUCCCUUAACGAGGAACAAUUGGAGGGCAAGUCUGGUGCCAGCAGCCGCGGUAAUUCCAGCUCCAAUAGCGUAUAUUAAAGUUGUUGUGGUUAAAAAGCUCGUAGUUGAACCUUGGGCCUGGCUGGCCGGUCCGCCUCACCGCGUGUACUGGUCCGGCCGGGCCUUUCCCUCUGUGGAACCUCAUGCCCUUCACUGGGUGUGGCGGGGAAACAGGACUUUUACUUUGAAAAAAUUAGAGUGCUCCAGGCAGGCCUAUGCUCGAAUACAUUAGCAUGGAAUAAUAAAAUAGGACGUGUGGUUCUAUUUUGUUGGUUUCUAGGACCGCCGUAAUGAUUAAUAGGGACAGUCGGGGGCAUCAGUAUUCAAUUGUCAGAGGUGAAAUUCUUGGAUUUAUUGAAGACUAACUACUGCGAAAGCAUUUGCCAAGGAUGUUUUCAUUAAUCAGGAACGAAAGUUAGGGGAUCGAAGACGAUCAGAUACCGUCGUAGUCUUAACCAUAAACUAUGCCGACUAGGGAUCGGACGAUGUUAUUUU